RNAcentral lists this unclassified non-coding RNA (260 nucleotides) under Hevea brasiliensis (rubber tree). The record is from RNAcentral. Lineage: Eukaryota; Viridiplantae; Streptophyta; Magnoliopsida; Malpighiales; Euphorbiaceae.
GAGAAUCGCCAAUUCAAUUCCGACUCCAAUCUGAAAUCUGAAAGUCGGUUCAUGUCUGGUGGAGAAAAAUAUGCUCUUCCAAUGAUGGAGGCUCCAUUAUUGACCCGCGCACAGUCAGGCCUAAAUGAGUGGACCCUGCCUAUUUAAUGUGUGAUUUGUGACAUCAGCUGCCUUAAAUCAUCCCAUUCAUUGUUUUGAAAAUUCGCCUCCUCUGACUGUUCAAAAUGCUUCGUCCACUCCCUGGUCUAAUGGCUCCUUGC